RNAcentral lists this ribosomal RNA (790 nucleotides) under uncultured bacterium. RNAcentral describes it as "bacterial SSU rRNA". It matches the Rfam family "Bacterial small subunit ribosomal RNA", at positions 8 to 796 of the family's 1533-position model. The record is from RNAcentral.
AGAGUUUGAUCAUGGCUCAGAGUGAACGCUGGCGGCGUGCCUAAUACAUGCAAGUCGAACGCGAAAGUCCUUCGGGAUGAGUAAAGUGGCGCACGGGUGAGUAAUGCAUAAGAACAUGCCCUUGGAUGGGGAAUAACGUUUGGAAACGAACGCUAAUACCGCAUAAUCUCGAAAGAGUAAAGGUGGCGCCGCAAGGGCUACCGUCCAAGGAUUGGCUUAUGUCCCAUUAGCUAGUUGGCGGGGUAAUGGCCCACCAAGGCGACGAUGGGUAUGUGGUCUGAGAGGAUGAUCACACACACUGGAACUGAGACACGGUCCAGACUCCUACGGGAGGCAGCAGUAGGGAAUAUUGCACAAUGGGGGAAACCCUGAUGCAGCAACGCCGCGUGAGUGAAGAAGGCCCUUGGGUUGUAAAGCUCUUUAGCGAGGGAAGAGGGUUGAUACGGUGAAUAAUCGUGUCAGCUGACGGUACCUCGAAAAUAAGCACCGGCUAAUUUCGUGCCAGCAGCCGCGGUAAUACGAAAGGUGCAAGCGUUACUCGGAAUCACUGGGCGUAAAGCGCACGUAGGCGGACUCGUAGGUCAAUUGUGAAAUACCUGGGCUCAACCCAGGAACUGCAGUUGAAACCACUUGUCUUGAAUACCUGAGAGGGUGGGGGAAUACCUGGUGGAGAAGUGAAAUUCGUAGAGAUCAGGUGGAACACCGGAGGCGAAGGCGCCUGCCUGGCAGUGUAUUGACGCUGAGGUGCGAAAGUGCGGGGAGCAAACAGGAUUAGAUACCCUAGUAGUCC